UAGAUGGAUGCUUAUGGGUUUAAGCGCUUAGCUGUUAACUAAGAGUUUGAGGGAUCGAGACCCUCUCAUCUAG
Molecule: transfer RNA, 73 nt
Filed under: Ophidion marginatum (striped cusk-eel)
Lineage: Eukaryota; Metazoa; Chordata; Actinopteri; Ophidiiformes; Ophidiidae
Description: tRNA-Asn
Rfam family: tRNA
About the family: Transfer RNA (tRNA) molecules are approximately 80 nucleotides in length.
Source: RNAcentral